AAGACCUUGCGCUUUGGGAAGGGCCGAUGUCUGAUUAGCUAGUUGGUGGGGUAAAGGCCUACCAAGGCGACGAUCAGUAGUUGGUCUGAGAGGACGACCAGCCACACUGGGACUGAGACACGGCCCAGACUCCUACGGGAGGCAGCAGUGGGGAAUUUUGGACAAUGGGCGCAAGCCUGAUCCAGCAAUGCCGCGUGAGUGAAGAAGGCCUUCGGGUUGUAAAGCUCUUUCAGUCGAGAAGAAAAAGCUGCAGUGAAUAACUGUAGUUCAUGACGGUAUCGACAGAAGAAGCACCGGCUAACUACGUGCCAGCAGCCGCGGUAAUACGUAGGGUGCAAGCGUUAAUCGGAAUUACUGGGCGUAAAGGGUGCGCAGGCGGCUCUGUAAGUCAGAUGUGAAAUCCCCGGGCUUAACCUGGGAAUU
This 423-nucleotide ribosomal RNA is filed under the name uncultured bacterium. Its description in RNAcentral is "bacterial SSU rRNA". It matches the Rfam family "Bacterial small subunit ribosomal RNA", at positions 207 to 622 of the family's 1533-position model. The record is from RNAcentral.